Long non-coding RNA from Ailuropoda melanoleuca (giant panda), 807 nucleotides. RefSeq lists it as uncharacterized. Lineage: Eukaryota; Metazoa; Chordata; Mammalia; Carnivora; Ursidae. The transcript has 3 exons. The record is from RefSeq and is a predicted model, not a curated record.
GCACCCCGGAGGCCCAGGGGACCUUCCCCCUUGGGCUUCCCCUUUCAGGGCCUUGACUCCGGGGGAAAUCUGGAAGCCGCUGAGCCUUAUUACCCAGAGCCCGCUUGACCUCCCAGCAAGGGAAGGAAGGAUGAGAAGGCGGAGGCAUCAGGCUUCUUUCCGCCGCGUCCUAGGAUGGCCGCGAAGCUGCCCGGCCAUUUGUUGGCAGGAAUGGACUGAGGCCCAGAAAGAGGAAAGGGCUGAGGUGGUGGUACACGGUCGUGCCACGAACAGGACCACACCCCAGCGACAGCUCCAGGAGCAGACAACACAGGAGGUAGAUGGCUGCCUCGCCUGCCCAAGAGCUGCUCAUUCCUUGUCUUUCACCAACACACGAACUGAAGACUCCGUACAGCUCAGCAGAAGACUGGUCAAACAAACUGUGGUACAAUCAUAAUGGAAUGCCACCAAAUAAAAUAAAAUAAAAUAAAAUAAAAUAAAAUAAAAUAAAAAAGAGCGAGAGGAAGGAAAAAAAUAAGGUAGGGAAAAGAAAAGAAUGCCAGAGUUUUCUCUUGACAUUGGAAGAUGCCCAUAAUACACUGAAGAAAAAGAGCAAGUUACAGACGGUAUAUUUAGUAACUUAUUUCUCUUCGAAAAAACAGAAAAGGAAUAUCCACAGAAUGGGAGAAAAUACUUGGAACUUAUGUAUCUGAUAUGGGAUUUGUAUCUAGAAUAUACAAAGAACUCUUGUAACUCAAUAGUGAAAAGACAAAUGAGCCACCUUUUCAAAUGGGCAAAGAAUUUAAAUAAACAUUUCUCCGAAGAUAA